This is a long non-coding RNA of Phodopus roborovskii (desert hamster), 481 nucleotides long. RefSeq lists it as uncharacterized. The transcript is spliced from 3 exons. Lineage: Eukaryota; Metazoa; Chordata; Mammalia; Rodentia; Cricetidae. The record is from RefSeq and is a predicted model, not a curated record.
GUGGCGCGCGGCAUGGCGGUGCUGGUCGCUGGGGCCUGGCGGGUGGCUGUGGCCUGGGAAUCCCAAGCGUCCGCGGUGGCUUUGGGCCGCUGCGAUCCCUUCCCGGAGGCCGGGCGGACGGCGCGCACUCGGCGGCCGUGUGAGGAGCACGGCCCGCCGGGCCCCACGUGAAGUGGAUCGCUGGGAAAGCCGAGCGCCGCCCGUGAUGUCGGUCUUCACCGCACGUCUGCCCAGGAGCACAACGGGGCGAGGAUGGAGUGGACGUCGGAGUGAAAAGGUGGGUGUCUGAAGCUGGCUGCUACUUCCUGAAUGGCACGCGAGAGAGCAAAGAUGACUUAAGGAUGUCCUUGAAGAUUUGGAAAUUCGAUCUUCAGAAACAUGAUUUAAAUUUUUUGAGAGGUGUAUCAAGGAAGACACUGCGUUUUUUGUAAAUAUGCAUUUGUAAGAAAAAUGUGAAUAAAUACUAAAUGUGCUGCUAUGA